Molecule: ribosomal RNA, 166 nt
Filed under: Trametes suaveolens
Lineage: Eukaryota; Fungi; Basidiomycota; Agaricomycetes; Polyporales; Polyporaceae
Also listed under: 1 other name
Description: 5.8S ribosomal RNA
Rfam family: 5.8S ribosomal RNA
About the family: 5.8S ribosomal RNA (5.8S rRNA) is a component of the large subunit of the eukaryotic ribosome. It is transcribed by RNA polymerase I as part of the 45S precursor that also contains 18S and 28S rRNA.
Source: RNAcentral
UACAACUUUUAGCAACGGAUCUCUUGGCUCUCGCAUCGAUGAAGAACGCAGCGAAAUGCGAUAAGUAAUGUGAAUUGCAGAAUUCAGUGAAUCAUCGAAUCUUUGAACGCACCUUGCGCUCCUUGGUAUUCCGAGGAGCAUGCCUGUUUGAGUGUCAUGAAAUUCU